This 547-nucleotide ribosomal RNA is filed under the name uncultured bacterium. Its description in RNAcentral is "partial 16S ribosomal RNA". It matches the Rfam family "Bacterial small subunit ribosomal RNA", at positions 355 to 895 of the family's 1533-position model. The record is from RNAcentral.
UGAGGAAUAUUGGUCAAUGGGCGAGAGCCUGAACCAGCCAAGUCGCGUGAAGGGAAGACUGCCUUAUGGGGUUGUAAACUUCUUUUAACAGGAAUAAAAAGGCUUACGUGUAGGCCAUUGCAAGUACUGUAUGAAUAAGCAUCGGCUAACUCCGUGCCAGCAGCCGCGGUAAUACGGAGGAUGCGAGCGUUAUCCGGGAUUUUAUUGGGUUUAAAGGGUGCGCAGGCGGGCUUUUAAGUCAGCGGUGAAAUCUGGACGCUUAACGUCCAAACUGCCGUUGAAACUGGGAGUCUUGAGUAUGGAUGAAGUAGGCGGAAUUCGUUGUGUAGCGGUGACAUGCAUAGAUAUAACGAGGAACUCCGAUUGCGUAGGCAGCUUACUAAGCCAUAACUGACGCUCAUGCACGAAAGCGUGGGGGAUCAAACAGGAUUAGAUACCCUGGUAGUCCACGCCGUAAAACGAUGAUUACUAGUUGUAUGCGAUAUGAUAGUAUGUGACUAAGCGAAAGCGAUAAGUAAUCCACCUGGGGGAGUACGCCGGCAACGGU